AACUUAUUAGUUUAAAUUUUAAAAUAUUUAGUUGUGGGCUAGGGGAUUUUUAGGUUA
Molecule: transfer RNA, 57 nt
Filed under: Tetrameres grusi
Lineage: Eukaryota; Metazoa; Nematoda; Chromadorea; Rhabditida; Tetrameridae
Description: tRNA-His
Source: RNAcentral